UAGCCUUUCGAAAGAAAGAUUAAUACCCGAUAGCAUAAUGAUUCCGCAUGGUUUCAUUAUUAAAGGAUUCCGGUAAAGGAUGGGGAUGCGUUCCAUUAGGUUGUUGGUGAGGUAACGGCCCACCAAGCCUUCGAUGGAUAGGGGUUCUGAGAGGAAGGUCCCCCACAUUGGAACUGAGACACGGUCCAAACUCCUACGGGAGGCAGCAGUGAGGAAUAUUGGUCAAUGGGCGCUAGCCUGAACCAGCCAAGUAGCGUGAAGGAUGAAGGCUCUAUGGGUCGUAAACUUCUUUUAUAUAAGAAUAAAGUGCAGUAUGUAUACUGUUUUGUAUGUAUUAUAUGAAUAAGGAUCGGCUAACUCCGUGCCAGCAGCCGCGGUAAUACGGAGGAUCCGAGCGUUAUCCGGAUUUAUUGGGUUUAAAGGGAGCGUAGGUGGACUGGUAAGUCAGUUGUGAAAGUUUGCGGCUCAACCGUAAAAUUGCAGUUGAUACUGUCAGUCUUGAGUACAGUAGAGGUGGGCGGAAUUCGUGGUGUAGCGGUGAAAUGCUUAGAUAUCACGAAGAACUCCGAUUGCGAAGGCAGCUCACUGGACUGCAACUGACACUGAUGCUCCAAAGUGUGGGUAUCAGACAAGAUUAGAUACCCUGGUAGUCCACACAGUAAACGAUGAAUACUCGCUGUUUGCGAUAUACAGUAAGCGGCCAAGCGAAAGCAUUAAGUAUUCCACCUGGGGAGUACGCCGGCAACGGUGAAACUCAAAGGAAUUGACGGGGGCCCGCACAAGCGGAGGAACAUGUGGUUUAAUUCGAUGAUACGCGAGGAACCUUACCCGGGCUUAAAUUGCAGUGGAAUGAUGUGGAAACAUGUCAGUGAGCAAUCACCGCUGUGAAGGUGCUGCAUGGUUGUCGUCAGCUCGUGCCGUGAGGUGUCGGCUUAAGUGCCAUAACGAGCGCAACCCUUAUCUUCAGUUACUAACAGGUCAUGCUGAGGACUCUGGAGAGACUGCCGUCGUAAGAUGUGAGGAAGGUGGGGAUGACGUCAAAUCAGCACGGCCCUUACGUCCGGGGCUACACACGUGUUACAAUGGGGGGUACAGAAGGCAGCUAGCGGGUGACCGUAUGCUAAUCCCAAAAUCCUCUCUCAGUUCGGAUCGAAGUCUGCAACCCGACUUCGUGAAGCUGGAUUCGCUAGUAAUCGCGCAUCAGCCACGGCGCGGUGAAUACGUUCCCGGGCCUUGUACACACCGCCCGUCAAGCCAUGGGAGCCGGGGGUACCUGAAGUACGUAACCGCAAGGAUCGUCCUAGGGUAAAACUGGUA
Molecule: ribosomal RNA, 1317 nt
Filed under: uncultured organism
Description: SSU rRNA
Rfam family: Bacterial small subunit ribosomal RNA
Source: RNAcentral